This 253-nucleotide ribosomal RNA is filed under the name uncultured bacterium. RNAcentral's name for it is "partial 16S ribosomal RNA". It matches the Rfam family "Bacterial small subunit ribosomal RNA", at positions 524 to 776 of the family's 1533-position model. The record is from RNAcentral.
UACAGGGGGUGCAAACGUUGCUCGGAAUUAUUGGGCGUAAAGCGCGCGUAGGCGGCUACUUAAGUCGGAUGUGAAAGCCCCUGGCUCAACUGGGGAAGUGCACCCGAAACUGAGUAGCUUGAGUGCAAAAGAGGGCCGCGGAAUUCCCGGUGUAGAGGUGAAAUUCGUAGAUAUCGGGAGGAACACCGGUGGCGAAGGCGGCGGCCUGGGUUGACACUGACGCUGAGGAGCGAAAGCGUGGGGAGCGAACAGG